GGCGAGAACUCGACGGCUCUGAAAGGGGAACGAGUCGAAGGCAGACAUCAAAAAGGUCUUGCACGCAGAGCCUGACGGCUGGCCGGAUCCGUUCUUGAGGCCGCAAGGGGGUAAGGACUGAACGGCCAAUGGCGCGUUUCUCCACCACUGUGUCUCCAGUGAAGAAGCUGCGAGUGUCUGUGGAGAGGCAUGUUGCUGCGGUGUCAGCGGGGAUGCGGGGAAGCACAGGGAAUGUAAGUGCCAUUUUCUUUGCGGGUAAAGGACGAAGGCCGAAGAGUCUAUCGGCGAGCCUCGGCUCUUGCAGGGCACAGAGGCACCCAGGCUGCUUCGCGGCCGCAGAUGCGAUGGAACUCCGACGGUAAAUCUCCCGUUUCUUCGAACGAGAGUGGCACAAAGGGUAAGCGAAGGUAGCGCUAGGCAACGGAGGUCCUCGGGAGAACCUGCCUCGGUCGGCCGCCUUUUGAAAACAACGCCCGGGAACGGCAGAGAAGAACUGACACGGCGAAGACUGUUGAAGGUAGUCUCCGGCGAGGAGACCGGAGUGCCGUGUAAGAGAGGGAAGGGAGGCGGUUUGCCUGGAGAGGACAAAGCCAGCGAGGCGCGAAAGUGGAAACCCACACCGAGAAAGAAGAGACCGAGGCUCCGGUGGAGUGACCGCCUGUAUCUACAAGACAUAGACCGACGCAGUCCGUUCGGAGGUGAAGCGUUUGACGAAAAGAAGAGGAAGUCUGAAGAAGUCAUGAGAUGGAAGAGACAAAAGACGAGGGCCUGUGGCAGGACAAGGAGACAGGAGACACCUGCCAGUGGGGCUGGCGACGGCGGCAACCGGGCUGUGGCGCCCCCCGAAAAAACGGGGGGAAAAGUCUCCCGUUUCUGUGACAUUAUAGUCUCUUGCCGACUCGGCCUCCCUCUGGAAAGUUCUGAGCUCGUGCGACGGUUUUUACAAGCAGCUUUCCCCAGGCAGACGUCGAUUGCUGGCGACGCUCGAGAACGAAGACACGCGCAGGGCCCGCGAACAUGUCGGGACUGGGUUGGCUGUCUGCGCGUGCAUGCAGAAGCUUUGGACUGAAAAAAAAUCUAACUAUCCGCGACAGAAGAAAGCUGAACGUGGCGCUUCAAAGGCAUUUUCUUCGUUCCAUAACAAAUCCUUAUUUGGACCUUCAUGCAUGUACCACGCAGUGACAGGAUACUUCCAUGCAGUAUCAGAUCCGCCGUCUGGCGGGACAGUCACUUUUUUGUGUCAGGAGGAGGUUCGGCAAGUUGUGUCAGUGACAUGUUUUGGCGGAGAAGAGGCAAGAAUCCUCGAUAAAUGGCUGUUUAGCAAACCGAGAAGCUCCAGCAGUCCCUCUUUCAACUCGACUUAGAUCUGUAGGAG
RNAcentral lists this long non-coding RNA (1375 nucleotides) under Toxoplasma gondii VEG. Lineage: Eukaryota; Apicomplexa; Conoidasida; Eucoccidiorida; Sarcocystidae. The record is from RNAcentral.